AAUGCACCAAUUUGUAACUCGCUCUGGAUAAGAGCGUCUGCUAAAUGACGUAAA
Molecule: non-coding RNA, 54 nt
Organism: Salmo salar (Atlantic salmon)
Lineage: Eukaryota; Metazoa; Chordata; Actinopteri; Salmoniformes; Salmonidae
Source: Rfam